ACUCCUACGGGAGGCAGCAGUGGGGAAUAUUGCACAAUGGGCGCAAGCCUGAUGCAGCCAUGCCGCGUGUAUGAAGAAGGCCUUCGGGUUGUAAAGUACUUUCAGCAGUGAGGAAGGCGGAGUCGUUAAUAGCGGCCUCGUUUGACGUUAGCUGCAGAAGAAGCACCGGCUAACUACGUGCCAGCAGCCGCGGUAAUACGUAGGGGGCAAGCGUUAUCCGGAAUCACUGGGCGUAAAGGGUGCGUAGGCGGCUUAGCAAGCCAGGGGUGAAAGGCAUUGGCUCAACCAAUGUAAGCCUUUGGAACUGUUAAGCUUGAGUGCAGGAGAGGUAAGUGGAAUUCCUAGUGUAGAGGUGAAAUUCGUAGAUAUUAGGAGGAACACCAGUGGCGAAGGCGACUUACUGGACUGUAACUGACGCUGAUGCACGAAAGCGUGGGUAGCGAACAGGAUUAGAUACCCUGGUAGCACAGAG
RNAcentral lists this ribosomal RNA (472 nucleotides) under uncultured bacterium. RNAcentral describes it as "bacterial SSU rRNA". It matches the Rfam family "Bacterial small subunit ribosomal RNA", at positions 335 to 799 of the family's 1533-position model. The record is from RNAcentral.